RNAcentral lists this ribosomal RNA (253 nucleotides) under uncultured bacterium. RNAcentral describes it as "partial 16S ribosomal RNA". It matches the Rfam family "Bacterial small subunit ribosomal RNA", at positions 524 to 776 of the family's 1533-position model. The record is from RNAcentral.
UACGAAGGGGGCUAGCGUUGCUCGGAAUCAUUGGGCGUAAAGCGCGCGUAGGCGGCCCGGUAAGUCCGCUGUAAAAGUCAAAGGCUCAACCUUUGAAUGUCAGUGGAUACUGCCGGGCUAGAGUCCGGAAGAGGCGAGUGGAACUCCUGGUGUAGCGGUGGAAUGCGCAGAUAUCAGGAAGAACACCGACGGCGAAGGCAGCUCGCUGGGACGGUACUGACGCUGAGGCGCGAAAGCGUGGGGAGCGAACAGG